UUUCCGUAGGUGAACCUGCGGAAGGAUCAUUACUGUAUGAUGGAGGUUCAAGGGCUGUCGCUGACCCGACAGGUCGUGCACGCCCGAGUGCCCUCACACACUUCCAACUCUCCCCUAUGUUCACCACGGCGUGCGUCCCCCUUUGGCUUGAUCGGUGGGGGGUUUACGUUUUCACACAAACUUUGUAUGUAGUGUAGAAUGUAUUUUUUGAAUUUGCCAUCCCGCAAUCAAUACAACUUUCAACAACGGAUCUCUUGGCUCUC
RNAcentral lists this unclassified non-coding RNA (263 nucleotides) under plant metagenome. RNAcentral's name for it is "partial contains small subunit ribosomal RNA, internal transcribed spacer 1, and 5.8S ribosomal RNA". The record is from RNAcentral.